Molecule: long non-coding RNA, 310 nt
Organism: Scomber scombrus (Atlantic mackerel)
Lineage: Eukaryota; Metazoa; Chordata; Actinopteri; Scombriformes; Scombridae
Exons: 3
Source: RefSeq, a predicted model, not a curated record
AGGGCCUCGCUGUCUUUCUGCAGAACACUUUUAACAUGUUAAAGAGAAUUAAUAGUUGUGCAUGUUCAUGUAAUCAUGCAUGUGAACACGUGCUGCAUGAACGUGAGUUUGUAUCUGGGUGAAAACGUGGUUUCACGCUAGCAGCUCGUGCUUAACGGGCCUUAAGCAACCACGUGGACUGAAAGAUGGCGGAAAAACUGAGUGGUCUUCAGGUUGUGAAGUCACUGCUGAAGUCAAACAAAUGUCAUAUCGGAGUCAUCCUUUGGUGAAGCUGAGUUUAAACCAACGAUGGACAAUCCAGAGUGAACAG